This 72-nucleotide transfer RNA is filed under the name Nematostella vectensis (starlet sea anemone). It matches the Rfam family "tRNA". Rfam says of the family: Transfer RNA (tRNA) molecules are approximately 80 nucleotides in length. The record is from Rfam by way of RNAcentral. Lineage: Eukaryota; Metazoa; Cnidaria; Anthozoa; Actiniaria; Edwardsiidae.
GACUCCGUGGCGCAAUGGUAGAGCGUCUGACUCCAGAUCAGAAGGUUGCGUGUUCAAAUCACGUAGGGGUCA